Molecule: ribosomal RNA, 483 nt
Filed under: uncultured bacterium
Lineage: Bacteria
Description: partial 16S ribosomal RNA
Rfam family: Bacterial small subunit ribosomal RNA
Source: RNAcentral
AGUGAACGCUGGCGGCAGGCCUAACACAUGCAAGUCGAGCGGCAGCGCGAGGGCAACCCUGGCGGCGAGCGGCGGACGGGUGAGGAAUUCGUCGGAAUCUGCCUUUUUGUGGGGGAUAACGUAGGGAAACUUACGCUAAUACCGCAUACGUCCUACGGGAGAAAGUGGGGGACCGCAAGGCCUCACGCAGAAAGAUGAGCCGACGACCGAUUAGCUAGUUGGUGGGGUAAAGGCCCACCAAGGCGACGAUCGGUAGCUGGUCUGAGAGGAUGAUCAGCCACACUGGGACUGAGACACGGCCCAGACUCCUACGGGAGGCAGCAGUGGGGAAUAUUGGACAAUGGGCGCAAGCCUGAUCCAGCCAUGCCGCGUGUGUGAAGAAGGCCUUCGGGUUGUAAAGCACUUUUGUCCGGAAAGAAAUCCCUGGAGCUAAUACCUUCGGGGGAUGACGGUACCGGAAGAAUAAGCACCGGCUAACUUCGU